AGGAAUCCCCUAUCGUUCUCUCAGUAUCUCAGACCCAGAAUUUUCCAUCGCUGCUGAAACCCGUUGUUCGAUCACUUAGUCUUCUCCCUGUAAUCCGAAGGUUCCUUUUUCAUGGUUAUCUUGAUCAUCAUGUUAAUCUUGGGGAUGUUCUACAUGAUUUACAAAUCUGCUUUGGUUUCCAAGGAAGAUCAGUCGCAAAUUUUUUUGGAACAAAAAACAAAUUACAGAAUUAUUGCAAUGAAUUAUAUAUAGAGUAUCAAAAUAUUGGACCUUUACGUCCAUGAAGGGUUGGCAUUCUGGAUUGAAAAUUAUUUUCAUCUUUAAUUAAGUUAAAAGAUCUAUUUACUUGGAUUCGAAAGUGAAUAAUAUGUGCAGUAUUCGUUCUUCGAUGAAACUCUUGGUUGUUGUUUCAGACUCAAAGUUUAUCAUUUCAUCACUACAGUAUUACCUAACAAAAAAAAUUUUUGUGAUUUCUCUGAUUCUUUACAAUUCCUUCUAUUAGCUAAUUCUCUAACAACAAUAAAAGAAUCCAAAAAAAAAAAAUCUUUAUCAGAAGUCACUCUUCAUUCCUCCAAAUAUAAUUGCUGGCUAACCAUCCAUGCCAAAAAAGUAAGUCUAAUUGUUAGUAUGUAAUCUUUUAAUUCUUGGAUUAGGAUCUGAACCCAACGGUGAUGCUUUUUACUACUUUAACUAGGUUUAUGAUGUAACCAAUUUUUCGGAAGAACAUCCAGGAAGACAAGAUGUUCAACUAGAAUCUGCAGCGGUUCUUGCAUGGCUUUCUCAAUCGUGCUAAGAUCUUUGAAGCUGCUGCAAAGUUGAUGAAAGAGAUGAGCUCAAAAGGUUUUCAAUAUGAUCUCAUUACAUACUCGUACAUACUCAAGGAUAUCAGGAAAGUUGGCGAGGAUAAUAUAGAUGCACAUAUCUAACACUAACUUGGUACGUUGCUCCUCUUCCUGCUUAGUAUACCUGUAUCUGAUUUGCUCACUUAAUUGAGAAUCUAAAUCAUCGUUGUUAAAUGGUGCACAUGAACAUGUAUAAUAGAUUCUCUCUCUCAUUAUCACGUGCGCGAACACACACACACUUUGGUAUUAAAGAUUUUGGAUUGUUCAACUUCGAAAGGCAAGUAAAAAUACAAAUAUUUUGAAAGGCAAAAAAAUUACUUAAAAAA
Papaver somniferum (opium poppy) is the source of this 1168-nucleotide RNA transcript. RefSeq lists it as uncharacterized. Lineage: Eukaryota; Viridiplantae; Streptophyta; Magnoliopsida; Ranunculales; Papaveraceae. The record is from RefSeq and is a predicted model, not a curated record. The transcript is spliced from 4 exons.